GACGAACGCUGGCGGCGGGCUUAACACAUGCAAGUCGAACGGUGAAGGGACCGGUUUUUGCUGGUUCCGGAUGAGUGGCGAACGGGGGAGUAACACGCGAGGAACCUGCCCCCUUCUUCUGGAUAACCGCAUGAAAGUUUGGCUAAAACGGGAUAUUCUGCUCCUGCUGCAUGGUGGGGGUGGGAAAGAUAUGGUCUCGUGGGGGGAUGGGCUCGCGGCCUAUCAGCUUGUUGGUGGGGGGAUCGCCUACGAAGGCGGUGACGGGUAGCCGGCAUGGGAGGGUCGACGGUCACGCUGGGGCUGCGCCGCGGCGCAGCCUCCUACGGGAGGCAGCAGGGAGGAUUAUUGCACGAUGGGCGGCCGGAUGAUGCAGCGACGCCGCGUGAGAGAUGGACGCCUUCGGGUUGUACACCUCUUUCGCCAGUGAAGCAGGCCUGUCCCUUUUGUGGGUGGGUUGACGGUAGCUGGAUAAGAAGCGCCGGCUAACUACGUG
This 493-nucleotide ribosomal RNA is filed under the name uncultured bacterium. RNAcentral describes it as "partial 16S ribosomal RNA". It matches the Rfam family "Bacterial small subunit ribosomal RNA", at positions 28 to 507 of the family's 1533-position model. The record is from RNAcentral.